Molecule: ribosomal RNA, 2388 nt
Filed under: Bifidobacterium longum
Lineage: Bacteria; Bacillati; Actinomycetota; Actinomycetes; Bifidobacteriales; Bifidobacteriaceae
Description: partial 23S ribosomal RNA
Rfam family: Bacterial large subunit ribosomal RNA
Source: RNAcentral
UUUUGUGGGGUGACGGCGUGCCUAUCGAAAAAUGAGUCUGCGAGUCAGUGGCAUGUGGCGAGCAUAACCCGUGUGGGGUAUGCGUAGCGAAGGCGAGUCUUAAAAGGCGUUUGAGUCGCGUGUCCUGGACCCGAAGCGGGAUGAUCUAGCCCUGAGCAGGUUGAAGCGCGGGUAAGACCGCGUGGAGGACCGAACCCACCUGGGUUGAAAACCGGGGGGAUGACUUGGGGCUAGGGGUGAAAGGCCAAUCAAAUUCCGUGAUAGCUGGUUCUCUCCGAAAUGCAUUUGGGUGCAGCGUCGGGUCAUUACGUCCCGGGGGUAGAGCUACUGGAUGCUUGCGGGCCCGUAUCGGGUACCAACAGCAACCAAACUCCGAAUACCGGUGACGCGUAUCCCGGCAGUGAGUCGGCGGGGGAUAAGCUUCGUCGUCGAAAGGGAAACAGCCCAGACCGUCGUCUAAGGUCCCGAAGCGUGUGCUAAGUGGGAAAGGAUGUGGAGUCGCAUAGACAGCCAGGAGGUUGGCUCAGAAGCAGCCACCCUUGAAAGAGUGCGUAACAGCUCACUGGUCUAGUGGUUCCGCGCCGACAAUGUAGCGGGGCUCAAGCACACCACCGAAGACGCGGCAGUAUUUUGUACUGGGUAGGAGAGCGUCCCAUGAGGGGCGAAGCGGCCGUGUGAACGCGCCGUGGACUUCAUGGGAGUGAGAAUGCAGACAUGAGUAGCGAGAGACGGGUGAAGAUCCCGUCCGCUGGAUGACCAAGGGUUCCAGGGCCACGUUCAUCGUCCCUGGGUGAGUCGGGUCCUAAGGCGAGGCCGACAGGCGUAGUCGAAUGGAUGAACGGGUCGAUAUUCCCGUACCGGCUUUCAGCCGCCAAAACCGAGGCUUGGAGUACUAACCUCCGGGUCCGGGCUUACUGCUCCUUCGGGGGCGGGAUGCCCUGGCCUGUUGGGACCGAUCCUUGUAGUAGGUCAGCGCAGGAGUGACGCAGAAGGGUAGCCGGCCGCGGAGGUGGUCUUCCGUGGUCAAGCACGCAGGGCGUGGGACAGGCAAAUCCGUCCCGCAUGGGUCCGAGGUGCGAUGAUGGGGGCCUUAUGGCCCGAUAUCCGGUGAUCCCGGCUGCCGAGAAAAGCUUCGGCGUCAGGCUCGAAGCCGCCCGUACCCCAAACCGACACUGGUGGUCAGGUAGAGAAUACCAAAGCGAUCGAGCGAAUCCUGGUCAAGGAACUCGGCAAAUCACUCCCGUUCCUUCGGUUUAAGGGAGACCCCCGAUGGUGAACCGCCUCGCGCGGGGAGCUUUUGGGGGUGGCACAGACCAGGGGGUAGCGACUGUUUACCAAAAACACAGGUGCAUGCGAAGGCGCAAGCCGCUGUAUAUGCACUGACGCCUGCCCGGUGCCGGAAGGUUAAGAGGAUCCGUCAGCCUUCGGGUGAAGCGGUGAAUUCAAGCCCCGGUAAACGGCGGUGGUAACUAUAACCAUCCUAAGGUAGCGAAAUUCCUUGUCGGGUAAGUUCCGACCUGCACGAAUGGCGUAACGACUUCCCCACUGUCUCGACCAGGAGCUCGGCGAAAUUGCAGUACGAGUAAAGAUGCUCGUUAAGCGCAGAAGGACGAAAAGACCCCGGGACCUUUACUAUACCUUGGUAUUGGCAUUCGGUGUGGAUUGUGUAGCAUAGGCGGGAGGCCGAGAGGCGCGGUCGCCAGAUCGCGCGGAGCCGUAAGGUGAAAUACCGCUCUGUUCGCAUUGGAUGUCUAACCUCGAACAGUCAUCCUGUUCAGGGACAGUGCCUGGCGGGUAGUUUAACUGGGGCGGUUGCCUCCCAAAGAGUAACGGAGGCGCCCAAAGGUCCGCUCAGCCCGGUUGGCAAUCGGGUGGCGAGUGCAAGUGCACAAGCGGGCUUGACUGCGAGGACGACGGUCCGAGCAGGGACGAAAGUCGGGACUAGUGAUCCGGUGCCGGUGUACGGACGCGGCAUCGCUCAACGGAUAAAAGGUACCCCGGGGAUAACAGGCUGAUCAUUCCCAAGAGUCCAUAUCGACGGGAUGGUUUGGCACCUCGAUGUCGGCUCGUCGCAUCCUGGGGCUGGAGCAGGUCCCAAGGGUUCGGCUGUUCGCCGAUUAAAGCGGCACGCGAGCUGGGUUCAGAACGUCGUGAGACAGUUUGGUCUCUAUCCUCUGCGCUCGUUGGAAUGCUGAGGAGGCCUGCCCAUAGUACGAGAGGACCUGGGUGGACGAACCUCUGGUAUGCCGGUUGUCACGCCAGUGGCACGGCCGGUUGGCUACGUUCGGAAGGGAUAACCGCUGAAAGCAUCUAAGCGGGAAGCCUGCUCCAAGAUAAGCAUUCCGUGGAACCUUCGAGUUCCUGUAGUCCCCAUGCAGAACACGUGGU